CACAGUGACUGCCCUGGCUUUCUUUGCUUUGCCUCCUGUCUGUGUUUGAAAUCCCGAAAUCACCGCCUUGAGCUCUGAAGCCCAGCGGCUCCGAGGCUGCAAGCCUCUCCGCUGGCCCCAGAUGUGCAGCAUGCAGCUUGAAUCUCUGAGGACUCUGGUGGUGGAUGCCAACUCCAACUCACAGUGGGAAUCUGGCCCACAGGACCCAGCCUGCCACCCUCCAGGGAGCCGUGGAGAUUUCAGGAUUUCUCCUCUGCGAAAUGGGGAUAACAGCUCCCUCUUCAUCCGGUUAUGGUCAGGGCUGACCUAAGGGGGCUGAGGGUGAAGGCCACAGGCUGAGAAGCUCUUGCCAGUGGUCAGUGAGGAGCAGCAAAUUCGGGUCUUGGCACUUGAACUGUGGGAGGAUCAAUGCUGCUUGAAGCCAUCGGUUUCUGGGAAUUUGUCACAGCAGCCCAGGAAACACAUGCAGAAGGAGUCACCCUCUUUGGUUUCUGAAAUGCGGACACACGUUACAAUGGAAACGAGCACUUGGGGCUCCCUGUCUCGGAAAAGUUGUUGAAUCAAUGCACGUUGAUUGCUUCAGCAAUCUAGGAAAUACUAUGUAAGUUUUCUUUAAACAAUGCCAGUAUGGCCACAGCGCCCCCCAGAAUUCUACUAUUCAUUCACUCACUCAUUUACCUCAUUUACUCAUUCAUUCAUUCAUUCAUUCAUUCAUUCAUUCAGUGUUCCGUCCCUGAUGAUUUGGUUAUGACCAAAGCAGACACAAUCGCUGACCUCAGGGAGCAUGUGUUCUGGUGCAAGAACUGACGCUGAGGUCCCCCUGACUCUUUGCUUAUCCUUCUGACAGCAAAAGUUGUCAGGAAAACAGACAGAAACAAAAAAUGCCCACUCUGGACUGAAUUGUAAAUCUUACCCCUUUCUCCUCACCCAAAGCCCAACAAAGCAAUUUGAAAUUCCAAACCUGUGACCACUGGACAAGAUCACCUUUCUCCCACUGAGAAGAAGAUCAGCGUUGGCUCGGGCCAAGUCUGGGAGACAGACAAGGCCUCCUUUCAACAUCGUGCCUCCAGGGGAACCAGGCCAAGUAUCGGCCCUCCAGAGACAGCUGCAGCCCUUGGAGGCCUCCCCACUGAGUCCACACCCCUGGCCCAGGGCACUCAGGCUAGCUGACCGGCCCUGCUCCCUGGCCAGCCUCAUUUCCUCCUGUUCUCUUGCUUGGUGCCCCUAGCAGCCGUCUUGCACCUGGCCACUGCUUCCCACGCCAGGGCCUUUGCCUUUGCUGUUCCCCUGCCUGGCAUGGUCUCGUCAUUCAGGGCUCAGCCUGAAUGUCACCUCCUCCUGGAAGCCUUACCCUCAUCUCGUUAUGUCCUACCCCAUCACCCUAUUUCUUUCCCUUGGGUCACCAGUAAGAACCUGGGUUGAGCUUGUGCAGCCGUCUCAUUGUCUUAGCCUCACGAAACUGUAAACCCUUUGACAAAAGGGAUCUGUCUGGUUUGUUUGACGUGUAACCCCAGCUUCCAGCCUAGCACAGAGAAAGCUCCAUGGAGACACUGACUGUCAGAUGACUGCAGACCUCCCCACAAGGAGGAGGGAAGCUGGCCUCCAAGGAGGCGCAUCCCACAGUGCAGUGGUCUCUGGCCAGGGUGGGUCAUUACGCCAUUGGUUUAUAGCGCCAUUUGCUUCGGCCCCUUUUGGUGGCAUCCCAGGGUUUAAAGUGACCAGGCAGCUAGUGUGGGGAGACGGGACACAGCUGUCUGAGGUCAGGGGGUCUGUAUGUGCCUCUCCGGCAGGGAACAGCCUCGGCCGUCAGAAGCCAGGUUUCAGCAUUUAGGAUGCAGCCAACAGCCAAAUUGCUUUCUUGGUUUUAUAUAUAAGGGCUUUUUUUGGUACCAUAAGGGCGGGUGGACAGGGCUGCCUUUGCUUCCUGGAGGGUCUGGUUCCUUUCGGGGAAGGUCUCAGUUGGCCACUGGAGUAACAGCACUGCGUCGGCCCAUGUGGCCAGCCAGCAUCCCUGUGCUCAUGGCUAAGGACAGGCUGUUACUCUGUUCUGCGGGUCUUGAAGUCAUUUGGUCAAGUGGACUUCAGAAGGAGAGAGAGAGAAGGACAGACAGCAUCCAUGGAGACUGCCACAGAGAAUGGAAAGAGAAUGGGAUCUGCAGUCUGAUGGGCUGGCAUAUCUCAGCAGCAGCAACAACAACACAAUAAUAUGGAAUUCAGUCCAGGCACGGUGGUUCCCGCCUGUAAU
Molecule: long non-coding RNA, 2245 nt
Filed under: Homo sapiens (human)
Lineage: Eukaryota; Metazoa; Chordata; Mammalia; Primates; Hominidae
Description: HSALNT0402043
Source: RNAcentral